UUAAGCGACUAAGCGUACACGGUGGAUGCCCUGGCAGUCAGAGGCGAUGAAGGACGUGCUAAUCUGCGAAAAGCGUCGGUAAGGUGAUAUGAACCGUUAUAACCGGCGAUGUCCGAAUGGGGAAACCCAGUGCAAUUCGUUGCACUAUCGUUAACUGAAUACAUAGGUUAACGAGGCGAACCGGGGGAACUGAAACAUCUAAGUACCCCGAGGAAAAGAAAUCAACCGAGAUUCCCCCAGUAGCGGCGAGCGAACGGGGAGCAGCCCAGAGUCUGAAUCAGCUUGUGUGUUAGUGGAACGGUCUGGAAAGUCCGACGGUACAGGGUGAUAGUCCCGUACACCAAAAUGCACAGGUUGUGAACUCGAAGAGUAGGGCGGGACACGUGGUAUCCUGUCUGAAUAUGGGGGGACCAUCCUCCAAGGCUAAAUACUCCUGACUGACCGAUAGUGAACCAGUACCGUGAGGGAAAGGCGAAAAGAACCCCGGCGAGGGGAGUGAAAAAGAACCUGAAACCGUGUACGUACAAGCAGUGGGAGCACCUUCGGGUGUGACUGCGUACCUUUUGUAUAAUGGGUCAGCGACUUAUAUUCUGUAGCAAGGUUAACCGUAUAGGGGAGCCGCAGGGAAACCGAGUCUUAACUGGGCGUUAAGUUGCAGGGUAUAGACCCGAAACCCGGUGAUCUAGCCAUGGGCAGGUUGAAGGUUGGGUAACACUAACUGGAGGACCGAACCGACUAAUGUUGAAAAAUUAGCGGAUGACUUGUGGCUGGGGGUGAAAGGCCAAUCAAACCGGGAGAUAGCUGGUUCUCCCCGAAAGCUAUUUAGGUAGCGCCUCGUGAACUCAUCUUCGGGGGUAGAGCACUGUUUCGGCUAGGGGGUCAUCCCGACUUACCAACCCGAUGCAAACUACGAAUACCGAAGAAUGUUAUCACGGGAGACACACGGCGGGUGCUAACGUCCGUCGUGAAGAGGGAAACAACCCAGACCGCCAGCUAAGGUCCCAAAGUCAUGGUUAAGUGGGAAACGAUGUGGGAAGGCACAGACAGCCAGGAUGUUGGCUUAGAAGCAGCCAUCAUUUAAAGAAAGCGUAAUAGCUCACUGGUCGAGUCGGCCUGCGCGGAAGAUGUAACGGGGCUAAACCAUGCACCGAAGCUGCGGCAGCGACACUAUGUGUUGUUGGGUAGGGGAGCGUUCUGUAAGCCUGCGAAGGUGACCUGUGAGGGUUGCUGGAGGUAUCAGAAGUGCGAAUGCUGACAUAAGUAACGAUAAAGCGGGUGAAAAGCCCGCUCGCCGGAAGACCAAGGGUUCCUGUCCAACGUUAAUCGGGGCAGGGUGAGUCGACCCCUAAGGCGAGGCCGAAAGGCGUAGUCGAUGGGAAACAGGUUAAUAUUCCUGUACUUGGUGUUACUGCGAAGGGGGGACGGAGAAGGCUAUGUUAGCCGGGCGACGGUUGUCCCGGUUUAAGCAUGUAGGCUGGUUGUCCAGGCAAAUCCGGAUAAUCAAGGCUGAGGUGUGAUGACGAGGCACUACGGUGCUGAAGUAACAAAUGCCCUGCUUCCAGGAAAAGCCUCUAAGCAUCAGGUAACAUUAAAUCGUACCCCAAACCGACACAGGUGGUCAGGUAGAGAAUACCAAGGCGCUUGAGAGAACUCGGGUGAAGGAACUAGGCAAAAUGGUGCCGUAACUUCGGGAGAAGGCACGCUGGUGUGUAGGUGAAGCCCCUGCGGGUGGAGCUGAGACCAGUCGAAGAUACCAGCUGGCUGCAACUGUUUAUUAAAAACACAGCACUGUGCAAACACGAAAGUGGACGUAUACGGUGUGACGCCUGCCCGGUGCCGGAAGGUUAAUUGAUGGGGUUAUCCGUAAGGAGAAGCUCUUGAUCGAAGCCCCGGUAAACGGCGGCCGUAACUAUAACGGUCCUAAGGUAGCGAAAUUCCUUGUCGGGUAAGUUCCGACCUGCACGAAUGGCGUAAUGAUGGCCAGGCUGUCUCCACCCGAGACUCAGUGAAAUUGAACUCGCUGUGAAGAUGCAGUGUACCCGCGGCAAGACGGAAAGACCCCGUGAACCUUUACUAUAGCUUGACACUGAACAUUGAGCCUUGAUGUGUAGGAUAGGUGGGAGGCUUUGAAGCGUGGACGCCAGUCUGCGUGGAGCCAACCUUGAAAUACCACCCUUUAAUGUUUGAUGUUCUAACGUUGGCCCCUGACCGGGGUUGCGGACAGUGUCUGGUGGGUAGUUUGACUGGGGCGGUCUCCUCCCAAAGCGUAACGGAGGAGCACGAAGGUUAGCUAAUCCUGGUCGGACAUCAGGAGGUUAGUGCAAUGGCAUAAGCUAGCUUGACUGCGAGCGUGACGGCGCGAGCAGGUGCGAAAGCAGGUCAUAGUGAUCCGGUGGUUCUGAAUGGAAGGGCCAUCGCUCAACGGAUAAAAGGUACUCCGGGGAUAACAGGCUGAUACCGCCCAAGAGUUCAUAUCGACGGCGGUGUUUGGCACCUCGAUGUCGGCUCAUCACAUCCUGGGGCUGAAGUAGGUCCCAAGGGUAUGGCUGUUCGCCAUUUAAAGUGGUACGCGAGCUGGGUUUAGAACGUCGUGAGACAGUUCGGUCCCUAUCUGCCGUGGGCGCUGGAGAAUUGAGGGGGGCUGCUCCUAGUACGAGAGGACCGGAGUGGACGCAUCACUGGUGUUCGGGUUGUCAUGCCAAUGGCACUGCCCGGUAGCUAAAUGCGGAAGAGAUAAGUGCUGAAAGCAUCUAAGCACGAAACUUGCCCCGAGAUGAGUUCUCCCUGAGACUUUAAGUCUCCUGAAGGAACGUUGAAGACGACGACGUUGAUAGGCCGGGUGUGUAAGCGCAGCGAUGCGUUGAGCUAACCGGUACUAAUGAACCGUGAGGCUUAACCUU
This 2900-nucleotide ribosomal RNA is filed under the name Klebsiella pneumoniae. Its description in RNAcentral is "bacterial LSU rRNA". It matches the Rfam family "Bacterial large subunit ribosomal RNA". The record is from RNAcentral. Lineage: Bacteria; Pseudomonadati; Pseudomonadota; Gammaproteobacteria; Enterobacterales; Enterobacteriaceae.